Molecule: ribosomal RNA, 433 nt
Filed under: uncultured bacterium
Lineage: Bacteria
Description: partial 16S ribosomal RNA
Rfam family: Bacterial small subunit ribosomal RNA
Source: RNAcentral
AACGAACGCUGGCGGCAUGCCUAACACAUGCAAGUCGAACGAGACCUUCGGGUCUAGUGGCGCACGUGUGCGUAACGCGUGGUAACCUGCCCUUAGGUUCGGUAUAACUCCCCGAAAGGGGUGCUAAUACCGGAUAAUGUCUUCGGACCAAAGAUUUAUCGCCUUUGGAUGGGCCCGCGUUGGAUUAGCUGGUGGGUAGGGUAAAAGCCUACCAAGGCGACGAUCCAUAGCUGGUCUGAGAGGAUGAUCAGCCACACUGGGACUGAGACACAGCCCAGACUCCUACGGGAGGCAGCAGUGGGGAAUAUUGGACAAUGGGCGAAAGCCUAAUCCAGCAAUGCCGCGUGAGUGAUGAAGGCCUUAGGGUUGUAAAGCUCUUUUACCCGGGAUGAUAAUGACAGUACCGGGAGAAUAAGCUCCGGCUAACUCCGUG